GGCGGUGUUAGCAUAGUGGUUAAGGAGCUGGGCUAGCAAACCAGAAAAGUUGUGGGUUCAAUUCCCAGCUUUCACCA
This 77-nucleotide transfer RNA is filed under the name Alosa alosa (allis shad). RNAcentral describes it as "tRNA-OTHER". The record is from RNAcentral. Lineage: Eukaryota; Metazoa; Chordata; Actinopteri; Clupeiformes; Clupeidae.